CGCCGCCACGCUCCCGAGAGCCGCCGCAUCCGCCGCGGCACCGAGUUUUCAGCCGGGCAGAGCCAGACGUCAGCAGGAGGAGGGCGGAGAAGGGUCCCUGGCAUCAUCUCACCUCAGCGGAUUGAGAGCGAGAGCAAGGUGCAGCACCUCCGCAGCCCGGUGAGGUCCGCACGGACCUGGCUCAAGGCGGCUGUAGCUGAAUGCCCAGUGUCUCAGAAAGUGAACAUAACGGACGGGUUCAGCUGCCUUUUCCUCCCGUACUGAUAUUGGCUUUCUAAUCUGAGAGAUCUCAUUAUCUGAUGAUGGGACUGAAGUAGGGAGGUUUUUUUAAUCUGCCUGCACGGUGCUUCUUUUUCUAAGCCUAAUUCCACUUUACAAACCAAAUCCAAAAGUAAAAAAUAUUAUCUCCUGGUAAGAACAGUUGCUUUUUAAAAUGACAGCCAGGUAGGAUUUGCACAAACCAGCGGGAUUUUGUUUCCAUUGGAAGUGCUUUAGUUUCUGAUCUGAAGAAAAUGAAGCAACUAAUAAGAUUCAGGAGCAUCCUUUAUUAAGAGAAUUUUCCUAAUGAUCCAGUGAGGCUACAAAUAAAGUUUUACAGGCGGUAUCUUUCCUUGCAACAUUUCACAAGCAGAUGAAGCACGUGUCAGUUUCAAGGAGUGCCACUCCCUGAGUAUCACUGACUGCAAAGCAUCUCUAAAACAGAGAGGUCAAAAUACAUCAUUAGCAACUUCCAGGAAAGUCAGCCCUGAAAGACUCCUCCUGUGUGACAGCAGAGCAUCGUCUGGCUGACCUUCCAUUCAUGCACUGGAACCGUGUCCCAUUUUUGCCAGCUGGGGUGAUGGCAGAGAGCCCAUGAUAACAAAUUUUGACAGUGUCAGGCUUCCACACUAGUUGCACAUACAUCAGAUUUGCUGGUCCCACAGUACAGUGAAGUGAGCUGUUAGAACAAAAAAUGAGAAAGGCUCAAAGUGUUCCUGAAUAUUCUGACAGGUUCUGCACAACUUGGGAAGAUUAUGGAUAAUUUUGAUUCCGAACUAUCAAAUAAUUGGGCAUUAUAAACACAGUCAAGCAAAUUUGCUGACAAAUAUAAGGUAAAAGCAUCUUCCAUUUGGGAUUAAGUGAUUUUGUCUUCAAAAAGAAGUUAUGGUCCUAGUAAAUGAUUGCUCCCUGAAGCCUUCUCUUGGGCUUGUAGAUGGCAGGAGGUGCUCAUGGUGCCAGAAAAGAAACAGACUCUGAACAGGCCAAAUGACCAAACAUUCCUAAGAGCCUCAGGACCUGAUUCCAAUCCUGCACACCUCAUAGAGAAAUGAGAGACUCAUCCCCAUGGAUACCCUAAAAUGGCUAAAAGCCCUAACAGCAACAUUCAAGGCAGGCAAUACCUCAGCACAGGGCAACACUGCUUUCUAUAAAAGGAGCACAGCAGUAGUUGUGAUGAACUUGUGAUCCAUAGUUCUUAAAAUUUUUAUGACCUAUUGGAAAAUUUCCUCCAGAUUUUAUGGGGUAACAUAUAUGCUGGAAAAUGUCUCAGGGUGUUCCUAAUCUCUGUAUACAAUUACUGUGACUGAUAGGGCAGUGAGGAACAGCAGUGCAUGCUCAGUCUCACACAUGUCCUACUGAAAGCCCUUCUGGAGAGAAGAUUUGUAUCCAAACCACAAUAAUUUAUAGGCCAUAAAGAUCUGAGUCUUCAGUGUAAAAUCAGCCCUGUGUAUGGGUGGGAGCCCCAGCAUGAGACACUUCUGCACUGACAGAAAAAGCAGAGCUGAGAGAGGAACAGACUCCUCCUUCAACAUCCUCCUUUCCCCAUAUUUAGAGACAUGUAAAAUCUGGAAAGGACAUUGCAGUAGGUAUGGCAUUCAUUUUUGAAACUGUGGUAUAACCAGUGGCCACUAACUGUUCAAAACAUCCUUCUUCUGAGCUAAAGAAAACAGCCAAAUAGAAGGAAGAGAAUAUAACUAAUAACUUACUUUUUUCUUGUAUUGAUUCAAACUAAAAAGGGGAAAUGGCAAGGUUGAGCAUCUUGAGAAUAUGAAGAUGGAAAAAAAAAAUCACAGAAACUGAAGAAAUGAACUGUACCAAUCCAAAGAACAAAAUAAACUCAGAAAUUGCAUAAAAGUGUUAAAUUAAUUUUCUUAUUAUAACAUUUAUGAAUAAUGGCAGAUUGACUGAACUGUGUUGCAUCAGAAAAUAUUUAAUCAGGCUACACAGAAGACACUUGAGAGAGUUACCACUGAAAAUUCCCCAUGUUAGGUGAGAAUUAGUAUCUAGCACAAAGUUUAUAAGAGAAAAACCAGAUUUGACUCUUAUAUAAGUAUUAUGUUGGUUGCACAUAACUGUCAAAGAGAUGGUGUUUUAAGCACAGGUAGCAACUGGGACUGGGCUAAUUUGCUCUAAAAUCCCAAGACAAUUGAUUUAAAUAUUUUUUUGCCACUGCACAGGUAUGUAAAUUCAGCGUGGGCCUGUUUGAGAAGUAGAGGGUAUCAAUCUUGCCUACUUAAAAUGAUGUAAUAAAGGAACCAUACUCAGUUCCAUUUUAGUCUGAUCUACUUUGCUAGAUUUGCCUAUCCUGCUAUAAAAAAAAUUGUUUCCUCCUCCUAACAGUGUAAAUACAGUCUAAAAUUGCAUCAAGUAACCAGACUUUGUACAAAGAAAUAAGUGAAGUUGGGAGCAGUGUUAAUAAGGAAUAUCCUUUGCUCUACUUUGCAGAGCUUAUGGUCCAUCUGGUGAACAAACACUGCAGGCUUAUCUGAACUCCAACUCACAGCCUGACUCAUCGGCGGCGCCGAAGCACAUUCUGUAAUCACUGGAAGACUAAGUUAUUUCAGAGUGAAGAUUAGCAUUUUUCUUAAAAACAGUCAAGUCCUUAUCACACCAAAAUUUAGAUUUUGGAUUUGUGUUAUGAGAUGAAGGGGAAAAAGGUGAAUGAACUGAUUUGUCCAAGAAUGGGUAUGUCUAAAAUACUCAGUCUUAGAAUCUGUGAAGAAUACAGAACAAAUAGCAAAUUUGUGUAUAUUCCUGUGAUAGCAAAAAAAAAAA
Non-coding RNA from Zonotrichia albicollis (white-throated sparrow), 3033 nucleotides. NCBI's taxonomy places the organism in Eukaryota, Metazoa, Chordata, Aves, Passeriformes, Passerellidae. The record is from RefSeq and is a predicted model, not a curated record.